RNAcentral lists this ribosomal RNA (449 nucleotides) under uncultured bacterium. RNAcentral's name for it is "bacterial SSU rRNA". It matches the Rfam family "Bacterial small subunit ribosomal RNA", at positions 328 to 793 of the family's 1533-position model. The record is from RNAcentral.
UUACCAGACUCCUACGGGAGGCAGCAGUGAGGGAUAUUGGGCAAUGGGGGAAACCCUGACCCAGCGACGCCGCGUGAGGGAAGACGGUCUUCGGAUUGUAAACCUCUGUCUUUGGGGACGAAAAAGGACGGUACCCAAGGAGGAAGCUCCGGCUAACUACGUGCCAGCAGCCGCGGUAAUACGUAGGGAGCGAGCGUUGUCCGGAAUUACUGGGUGUAAAGGGAGCGUAGACGGCCAUGCAAGCCUGGAGUGAAAGCCCGGGGCCCAACCCCGGGACUGCUCUGGGAACUGUGCGGCUGGAGUGCGGGAGGGGCAGGCGGAAUUCCUGGUGUAGCGGUGAAAUGCGUAGAUAUCAGGAGGAACACCGGCGGCGAAGGCGGCCUGCUGGACUGCAACUGACGUUGAGGCCCGAAAGCGUGGGGAGCAAACAGGAUUAGAUACCCGGGUAA